UACCUUUGCAUCAGAUUUGGUGAUGUAAGUACUUUCCGUAUUUGCAUAAAAGGGAAUUCGGUCAUAGAAUCCGAAGCAGUGCCCGCUACUGUGAAACCCGUCAAUGAAAAGCAACUCUCGCCAUGCCACUGUUUCCUUUGUAAGAAAUGGGAAGGCGCUUUUCAGGGUGAAGCCAGGAAACCUGCCAGGUCUGAACAUAGAUA
This 203-nucleotide non-coding RNA is filed under the name Phocaeicola vulgatus. Lineage: Bacteria; Pseudomonadati; Bacteroidota; Bacteroidia; Bacteroidales; Bacteroidaceae. The record is from RNAcentral. RNAcentral also lists the same sequence under 1 other name.